GCGAAUUGCACACGGUGUAUAAAGCAUCUCCGGCAGAGCCUGGUGCAUGUAACAACCGCAUCUCUGCGAUGGGAGCCCUGAGCCUGGGCCUGGGCCUCCGGGUCAACCAGACGCUGAGGAUUCUUGUACCUCACCAGAGCAUUCUGUCUGACUAUCUGAUGGAGACACCUUCUGAGCCGAAACAGUGUGGCCAUAGUGGCUGUGUCCUCAGAGAUGAGGAGCCCCUCCUUCCCUUUCACAUUGCUCUCUGGCCUUCCCGGACCUGGCUUCUCGCAGCUUUGUGUGCGUGUUUCUCAGGUGUCCAGGAAUCCCAUGCGAAGUGAAGGCUGCUUUGGUCUCCUCAAGUCUGUCCAGGACAAUCCAGCCUCUGCCCUGGAACUGCUGGAUUUCUCAGAUAUCCAGGUGAACGCAGAGUUUGAUGGCCUUGCUAGCUCAGUGAGGGGAAUUCUUCCAGAACUCUGCAUAAAGACUGGCGCUUGCAGAGUGGAGUAUAAAAAGGAGUUGCUGCCAGUCUUCAGAUCAGCCCUGCCAGCGUCUGUCCCUAAGUGACCUUGGAGUGUGGCUUCCUCAUCUCCAAUCAGCUGCUUUGACCUCCAGGGUAUAUACUUGAAAGAAAUGAAGACAUAUGUCCCCACAAGAACUCGUGCAUGAAUAUCCAUAGCAACAUUAUUUAUAAUAUUCUAAGAGUGAAAAUGCCCACCAGUGGAUAAAUGCAAUGUGGUAUAUCCAUACAGUGGAAUAUUAUUUGGCAAUAAAAAGGAAUUUGAGGUGAUACCAAUGUUCUAAAAUGUAUUGUGGUGAUGGCUACGUAACUGUGCAUAUUCUAAAGGCAAUUGAAUUACAGAUGCUUUACAUGAAUGAACCGUAUGGUAUGUGAACGGCAUCUCAAUAAAACUGUUUCGAAAAGAAGGAAAAGGACGGACACAUGCUGAAAACGGGUGAAACUAGAAAACAUGGCGCUAAGUGAAAGAAGCCAGCCACAAGAUCACGUGUCGCAUGACCGCAUUUAUGUGAAACAUCCGGAGUAUGCAAAUCUAUACAGACAGAAAGUAGAUUAUACAUUGCCUAGGUGCAGAGAAAUGGAAGUAUUGGAGGUUGACGGCUAAAGGAUGUGGAUUUCUUUGGGGGGUGAUAAAAGUGUUCUAAAAUUGAUUGUGGUGAUGUGCGACUCUAUGAAUACGCUAAAAACCGCUCGAUUGUACAUUUUAAAUGGGUG
This 1216-nucleotide long non-coding RNA is filed under the name Homo sapiens (human). RNAcentral's name for it is "long non-coding RNA NONHSAT083628.2". The record is from RNAcentral. Lineage: Eukaryota; Metazoa; Chordata; Mammalia; Primates; Hominidae.